GAUGAACGCUGGCGGCGUGCCUAAUACAUGCAAGUCGAGCGAACGGACGAGAAGCUUGCUUUUCUGAUGUUAGCGGCGGACGGGUGAGUAACACGUGGAUAACCUACCUAUAAGACUGGGAUAACUUCGGGAAACCGGAGCUAAUACCGGAUAAUAUUUUGAACCGCAUGGUUCAAAAGUGAAAGACGGUCUUGCUGUCACUUAUAGAUGGAUCCGCGCUGCAUUAGCUAGUUGGUAAGGUAACGGCUUACCAAGGCAACGAUGCAUAGCCGACCUGAGAGCGUGAUCGGCCACACUGGAACUGAGACACGGUCCAGACUCCUACGGGAGGCAGCAGUAGGGAAUCUUCCGCAAUGGGCGAAAGCCUGACGGAGCAACGCCGCGUGAGAGAUGAAAGUCUUCGGAUCGUAAAACUCUGUUAUUAGGGAAGAACAUAUGUGCAAGUAACUGUGCACAUCUUGACGGUACCUAAUCAGAAAGCCACGGCUAACUACGUG
This 497-nucleotide ribosomal RNA is filed under the name uncultured bacterium. RNAcentral describes it as "partial 16S ribosomal RNA". It matches the Rfam family "Bacterial small subunit ribosomal RNA", at positions 28 to 507 of the family's 1533-position model. The record is from RNAcentral.